Molecule: transfer RNA, 65 nt
Filed under: marine eukaryotic metagenome
Rfam family: tRNA
About the family: Transfer RNA (tRNA) molecules are approximately 80 nucleotides in length. Their secondary structure includes four short double-helical elements and three loops (D, anti-codon, and T loops). Further hydrogen bonds mediate the characteristic L-shaped molecular structure. tRNAs have two regions of fundamental functional importance: the anti-codon, which is responsible for specific mRNA codon recognition, and the 3' end, to which the tRNAs corresponding amino acid is attached (by aminoacyl-tRNA synthetases). tRNAs cope with the degeneracy of the genetic code in two manners: having more than one tRNA (with a specific anti-codon) for a particular amino acid; and 'wobble' base-pairing, i.e. permitting non-standard base-pairing at the 3rd anti-codon position.
Source: RNAcentral
GAGUAGCUCAGUUGGAUAGAGCGUCGGCUUCCGGAGCCGAAGGUCGAGGGUUCGAAUCCUUCCUC